GAUACCCUGGUAGUCCACGCAGUAAACGAUGAAUACUAGCUGUCCGGGGCGAAUGGGCCCUGGGUGGCACAGCGAAAGCGUUAAGUAUUCCACCUGGGGAGUACGCCGGCAACGGUGAAACUCAAAGGAAUUGACGGGGGCCCGCACAAGCGGAGGAACAUGUGGUUUAAUUCGAUGAUACGCGAGGAACCUUACCCGGGCUCAAACGACACAGGAACGGUCCUGAAAGGGGUCGGCUCUACGGAGCCUGUGUCGAGGUGCUGCAUGGUUGUCGUCAGCUCGUGCCGUGAGGUGUCGGCUUAAGUGCCAUAACGAGCGCAACCCCCAUCGACAGUUGCUAACAGGUUAGGCUGAGGACUCUGUCGAGACUGCCGGCGCAAGCUGCGAGGAAGGCGGGGAUGACGUCAAAUCAGCACGCCCCUUACGUCCGGGGCGACACACGUGUUACAAUGGCAGGUACAGCGGGAAGCCACCUGGCGACAGGGAGCGGAACCCGAAAGCCUGUCUCAGUUCGGAUUGGAGUCUGCAACCCGACUCCAUGAAGCUGGAUUCGCUAGUAAUCGCGCAUC
Molecule: ribosomal RNA, 569 nt
Filed under: uncultured bacterium
Lineage: Bacteria
Description: bacterial SSU rRNA
Rfam family: Bacterial small subunit ribosomal RNA
Source: RNAcentral